UCUGCUAAAUAGCACGUUGUCGUCAGACGCAAGUGGAAGUGUGAAACAGGCGGCUGUUGAGGACUACAUCAACUAGUGUCGUUCGGAAGCGGAAGCGGUGUGGAUCCUUGAUGUACUGAAGUUUUAUUUCACCAAACAAAAACACUAAUGGUCUUCCCAUGACGACAUUAAAACGGAUUGUGCAUCCAGUUCACUCAGUAACCACUUCACCACUCCUCUGUGCAUCUUGCAUUAAUGUCUAGAGACAUGACAUAUUGGAUGAUGCCAUCUUGUGCAUUUAGCUAUUGCAUUGAACUUACAUCUGAUUUUUCCAGUUCUGACAUUGCUUGCUGUGUUUGUCCAACCAAAUCACUGAAUCUUGGACGAUUGUUAGGUAGUUCAUUCCAACAGUUGACCAUCAAAUUGUAUCUAUAUACAAAGUGGUUUACUUUUUGCUUGAUAUGCGUAACUAUAAUAAGUUUAAUUGAGUUAUAGUAUACGUAUUACAAUUUCUUUGAA
This is a long non-coding RNA of Corticium candelabrum, 498 nucleotides long. RefSeq lists it as uncharacterized. The record is from RefSeq and is a predicted model, not a curated record. Lineage: Eukaryota; Metazoa; Porifera; Homoscleromorpha; Homosclerophorida; Plakinidae. The transcript has 3 exons.